RNAcentral lists this ribosomal RNA (477 nucleotides) under uncultured anaerobic ammonium-oxidizing bacterium. RNAcentral's name for it is "bacterial SSU rRNA". It matches the Rfam family "Bacterial small subunit ribosomal RNA", at positions 365 to 832 of the family's 1533-position model. The record is from RNAcentral.
UUCGCAAUGCCCGAAAGGGUGACGAAGCGACGCCGCGUGAGGGAUUGAAGGCCUUCGGGUCGUAAACCUCUUUUAUGCCGUUAGAUGGUGGUACGUGCGAAUAUCGCGUACCAUUGGACGAAGGCAAGAAAAAGCUCCGGCUGACUACGUGCCAGCAGCCGCGGUAAUACGUAGGGAGCGAGUGUUGUUCGGAUUCACUGGGCUUAAAGGGCGCGUAGGCGGCUUGGCAACUCGAGGGUGAAAUCCCGUCCUUCAAAGGCGGAAUGGCUAUCGAAAGUACCGAGCUCGAGGGUGGGAGGGGAGAGUGGAACUCCUGGUGUAGCGGUGAAAUGCGUAGGUAUCAGAAGGAACGCCGGCGGCGAAAGCGGCUCUCUGGCCCAUAACUGACGCUGAGUGUGCGAAAGCUAGGGGAGCAAACGGGAUUAGAUACCCCGGUAGUCCUAGCCGUAAACGAUGGGCACUAAGUAGAGGGGUUUU